UACGGAGGGUGCAAGCGUUAUUCGGAAUUACUGGGCGUAAAGCGCGUGUAGGCGGCCCGACAAGUCUGAUGUGAAAGCCCUGGGCUUAACCCGGGAAGUGCAUUGGAAACUGUCGGGCUUGAGUACUGGAGAGGAUGGGGGAAUUCCCGGUGUAGAGGUGAAAUUCGUAGAGAUCGGGAGGAAUAUCAGUGGCGAAGGCGCCCAUCUGGACGGUUACUGACGCUGAGACGCGAAAGCGUGGGGAGCAAACAGG
This 253-nucleotide ribosomal RNA is filed under the name uncultured bacterium. Its description in RNAcentral is "partial 16S ribosomal RNA". It matches the Rfam family "Bacterial small subunit ribosomal RNA", at positions 524 to 776 of the family's 1533-position model. The record is from RNAcentral.